Molecule: ribosomal RNA, 484 nt
Filed under: uncultured bacterium
Lineage: Bacteria
Description: partial 16S ribosomal RNA
Rfam family: Bacterial small subunit ribosomal RNA
Source: RNAcentral
AUUGAACGCUGGCGGCAUGCUUUACACAUGCAAGUCGAACGGCAGCGUGGGCUUUGGUCUGGCGGCGAGUGGCGAACGGGUGAGUAAUACAUCGGAACGCGCCCAGUCGUGGGGGAUAGCUCGGCGAAAGCCGGAUUAAUACCGCAUACGAACUGAGGGUGCAAGCGGGGGAUCUUCGGUCCUCGCGCCAUUGUAGCGGCCGAAGGCAGAUUAGCUAGUUGGUGGGGUAAAGGCCUACCAAGGCUACGAUCUGUAGCUGGUCUGAGAGGACGACCAGCCACACUGGGACUGAGACACGGCCCAGACUCCUACGGGAGGCAGCAGUGGGGAAUUUUGGACGAUGGGCGAAAGCCUGAUCCAGCAAUGCCGCGUGUAUGAUGAAGGCCUUCGGGUUGUAAAGCACUUUUGGCGGGAACGAAAAGGACUGUGCCAAUACCACAGUUCGAUGACGGUACCCGCAGAAUAAGCACCGGCUAACUACGUG